UAGGGAAUCUUCCACAAUGGGCGAAAGCCUGAUGGAGCAACGCCGCGUGUGUGAUGAAGGGUUUCGGCUCGUAAAACACUGUUGUAAGAGUAGAAUGACAUUGAGAGUAACUGUUCAAUGUGUGACGGUAUCUUACCAGAAAGGAACGGCUAAAUACGUGCCAG
Molecule: ribosomal RNA, 164 nt
Filed under: uncultured bacterium
Lineage: Bacteria
Description: partial 16S rRNA
Rfam family: Bacterial small subunit ribosomal RNA
Source: RNAcentral